UACAGAGGUCCCAAGCGUUGUUCGGAUUCACUGGGCGUAAAGGGUGCGUAGGCGGUCGGGUAAGUCUGAUGUGAAAUCUCACAGCUUAACUGUGAAACUGCAUUGGAUACUAUCCGGCUCGAGGAAUGGAGGGGAGACUGGAAUACUUGGUGUAGCAGUGAAAUGCGUAGAUAUCUGGAGGAACACCGGUGGCGAAGGCGGCAUCCUGGACCAAUUCUGACGCUGAGGAGCGAAAGCCAGGGGAGCAAACGGG
Molecule: ribosomal RNA, 253 nt
Filed under: uncultured bacterium
Lineage: Bacteria
Description: partial 16S ribosomal RNA
Rfam family: Bacterial small subunit ribosomal RNA
Source: RNAcentral